Molecule: unclassified non-coding RNA, 263 nt
Filed under: plant metagenome
Description: partial contains small subunit ribosomal RNA, internal transcribed spacer 1, and 5.8S ribosomal RNA
Source: RNAcentral
UUUCCGUAGGUGAACCUGCGGAAGGAUCAUUAUUGUAUAACCGAGGUGCGAGGGCUGUCGCUGACCCGAAAGGUCGUGCACGCCCGAGUGCCCUCACACGCAUCCAUCUCACCCCUAUGUGCACCACCGCGUGGGUCCCCCUUUGGCUUGUUCGGAGGGGGGCUUACGUUUUCACACAAACUUUGUAUGCAGUGUAGAAUGUAUUUUUUGUUUUUGCGAUCACGCAAUCAAUACAACUUUCAACAACGGAUCUCUUGGCUCUC